Molecule: transfer RNA, 76 nt
Filed under: Methanothermobacter tenebrarum
Lineage: Archaea; Methanobacteriati; Methanobacteriota; Methanobacteria; Methanobacteriales; Methanobacteriaceae
Also listed under: 1 other name
Description: tRNA-Glu
Rfam family: tRNA
About the family: Transfer RNA (tRNA) molecules are approximately 80 nucleotides in length. Their secondary structure includes four short double-helical elements and three loops (D, anti-codon, and T loops).
Source: RNAcentral
GCUCCGAUAGUGUAGUCCGGCCAAUCAUCUCGGCCUCUCGAGCCGAGGACCCGGGUUCAAAUCCCGGUCGGAGCAC